UAGGGAAUCUUCCGCAAUGGACGAAAGUCUGACGGAGCAACGCCGCGUGAGUGAAGAAGGUUUUCGGAUCGUAAAGCUCUGUUGUUAAGGAAGAACGAGUGUGAGAAUGGAAAGUUCAUGCUGUGACGGUACUUAACCAGAAAGCCACGGCUAACUACGUGCCAGCAGCCGCGGUAAUACGUAGGUGGCAAGCGUUGUCCGGAAUUAUUGGGCGUAAAGCGCGCGCAGGUGGUUUAGAAAGUCUGAUGUGAAAGCCCACGGCUCAACCGUGGAGGGUCAUUGGAAACUAAUAAACUUGAGUGCAGGAGAGAAAAGUGGAAUUCCUAGUGUAGCGGUGAAAUGCGUAGAGAUUAGGAGGAACACCGGUGGCGAAAGCGGCUUUUUGGCCUGCAACUGACACUGAGGCGCGAAAGCGUGGGGAGCAAACAGG
This 430-nucleotide ribosomal RNA is filed under the name Verrucomicrobiota bacterium. RNAcentral's name for it is "Verrucomicrobia bacterium partial 16S ribosomal RNA". It matches the Rfam family "Bacterial small subunit ribosomal RNA", at positions 355 to 776 of the family's 1533-position model. Lineage: Bacteria; Pseudomonadati; Verrucomicrobiota. The record is from RNAcentral.